This 254-nucleotide ribosomal RNA is filed under the name uncultured bacterium. RNAcentral describes it as "partial 16S ribosomal RNA". It matches the Rfam family "Bacterial small subunit ribosomal RNA", at positions 524 to 776 of the family's 1533-position model. The record is from RNAcentral.
UACGUAGGGUGCGAGCGUUGUCCGGAAUUAUUGGGCGUAAAGAGCUCGUAGGCGGCUCGGUAAGUCGGGUGUGAAACCUCCAGGCUCAACCUGGAGACGCCACCUGAUACUGCUGUGGCUAGAGUCCGGUAGGGGAGUGUGGAACUCCUGGUGUAGCGGUGAAAUGCGCAGAUAUCAGGAGGAACACCGGUGGCGAAGGCGGGUCUCUGGGCCGAUACUGACGCUGAGGAGCGAAAGCGUGGGGAGCGAACAGG